This 735-nucleotide ribosomal RNA is filed under the name Bacillus vallismortis. Its description in RNAcentral is "bacterial SSU rRNA". It matches the Rfam family "Bacterial small subunit ribosomal RNA", at positions 31 to 748 of the family's 1533-position model. Lineage: Bacteria; Bacillati; Bacillota; Bacilli; Caryophanales; Bacillaceae. The record is from RNAcentral.
CGACGCUGGCGGCGUGCCUAAUACAUGCAAGUCGAGCGGACAGAUGGGAGCUUGCUCCCUGAUGUUAGCGGCGGACGGGUGAGUAACACGUGGGUAACCUGCCUGUAAGACUGGGAUAACUCCGGGAAACCGGGGCUAAUACCGGAUGCUUGUUUGAACCGCAUGGUUCAAACAUAAAAGGUGGCUUCGGCUACCACUUACAGAUGGACCCGCGGCGCAUUAGCUAGUUGGUGAGGUAAUGGCUCACCAAGGCAACGAUGCGUAGCCGACCUGAGAGGGUGAUCGGCCACACUGGGACUGAGACACGGCCCAGACUCCUACGGGAGGCAGCAGUAGGGAAUCUUCCGCAAUGGACGAAAGUCUGACGGAGCAACGCCGCGUGAGUGAUGAAGGUUUUCGGAUCGUAAAGCUCUGUUGUUAGGGAAGAACAAGUGCCGUUCGAAUAGGGCGGCACCUUGACGGUACCUAACCAGAAAGCCACGGCUAACUACGUGCCAGCAGCCGCGGUAAUACGUAGGUGGCAAGCGUUGUCCGGAAUUAUUGGGCGUAAAGGGCUCGCAGGCGGUUUCUUAAGUCUGAUGUGAAAGCCCCCGGCUCAACCGGGGAGGGUCAUUGGAAACUGGGGAACUUGAGUGCAGAAGAGGAGAGUGGAAUUCCACGUGUAGCGGUGAAAUGCGUAGAGAUGUGGAGGAACACCAGUGGCGAAGGCGACUCUCUGGUCUGUAACUGACGCUG